Molecule: ribosomal RNA, 406 nt
Filed under: uncultured bacterium
Lineage: Bacteria
Description: partial 16S ribosomal RNA
Rfam family: Bacterial small subunit ribosomal RNA
Source: RNAcentral
AUUGAACGCUGGCGGCAGGCUUAACACAUCAGCAACGGAUUGGUGGCGGACGGGUGCGUAACGCUUAAAGAACUUGCCUCACAGCUAGGGACAACAUUUAGAAAUGAAUGCUAAUACCUGACACUGUGAGAGAGCUUUGCGUCCCAUUAGCUAGUUGGAGAGGUAACAGCUCACCAAGGCGAUGAUGGGUAGCCGGCCUGAGAGGGUGAACGGCCACAAGGGGGCAGAGGCACGGACCUUAAUCCUACGGGAGGAAGCAGUGGGAAAUAUUGGACAAUGGACCAAAGUCUGAUACAGCAAUUCGGUGUGCACGAUGAAGUUUUCGGGAUGUAAAGUGCUUUCAGUUGAGAAGCGGUACCAACAGAAGAAGUGACGGCUAAAUACGUGCCAGCAGCCGCGGUAAUAC